AGUGGCCAUGCUGUGAGGUCACUGAGGAAGCCUCUGGAGGAGGCAGCCCACACGAGGAGGAACGAGGCCUCCCACCAACAGCCACGUGGGCACACCAUCUUGGAUGUGGUUCCUCUAGCCUCAGUCAAGCCUUCAGAUGCCUGCAACCCCUGCCAGCAUCCUCACUGCAACUUGAUGAGUGAUCACCCAGCUAAGCCACUGCUGGAUUUGUAACCCACAGAAACUGGGAGCAGGGCAUCGCAUGGCCUCGACGGGGAUUACCCAUAGGAGAGAUGAGUUUUGCUGAGAACGCCUGAGUGAGCAUGGAGCAGAGCUCCGUGAGCACCUGCACCCAGCUGGGAGAAACCAGGAGCUCAUGAAGUGUCUGAGACAUUGGGUUAAAGCACACACAUUUAAAGAGACGAGGAAAAGAAAAGAGACGCAGCGUUCUCGUUCUCCUUCUCAGGAUUACGAAAGAGGCGACUGGGUUGGCACCCUAGGGAGGUUCCCACAUGCACUGCAGUGCCUGAGGCAGGCCAGUCUCACAGGAGCCUCUUAGGGAUCAACGAAAUGUGGUCUGCCUGUACUGUGGCAGAUUACUAGGACAUAAAAGGAAUGAAGUACUGAUCCAUGCUACAAUGUGGAUGAACCUUGGUAACACUGUGCUGAGCGAAAGCAGCCAAUCACAAAAGGCCACAUAUCGUAUGAUCCAAUUAUACAAAAUGUCCAGAACAGGGAAACCCAGGAAAGAAAGCAGAGAGGUGGGUGCCAGGAGCUGGGGGAGGCAGGAACAGAGAGUGACUGCUAAUUGGUAUGGGGUUUCCUUUCGGAAAAUGGAAAUGUUCUGGAACUAGGGGUGGUGGCUGCAUAACCUCUUGAAAAAUGCUAAAAACCACUGAGCUGCAGGCUUUAAAAGGGUAUUUCUGUGGUAUAUGAAUUAUAUGCUAAUUGGAAGAAAGGAGCUGGCUGGACGCAGUGGCUCAUGCCUAUAAUCCCAGCACUUUGGGAGGCCAAAGCAGGUGAAUUGCUUGAGCCCAGGAGUUCGAGACCAGCCUGAGCAACAUGGCAAAACUUCAUUUCUACAAAAAAACUUAAAAAAAAAAAUUAGCCGGACACAGUGGUGCAUGCCUGUGAUCCCAGCUACUCAGGAGGCUAAGGUGGGAGGAUCGCUUGAGCCUGGGAAGUCGAGGCUGCAGUGAGCCACGAUCGUGCCACUGCACU
Long non-coding RNA from Homo sapiens (human), 1200 nucleotides. RefSeq lists it as uncharacterized. The transcript is spliced from 3 exons. Lineage: Eukaryota; Metazoa; Chordata; Mammalia; Primates; Hominidae. The record is from RefSeq and is a predicted model, not a curated record.